GUUUUGGUUGUUUGGGUUCCUGGCAUGCUGAUUUGUGACUUAAGAUGAAAAUCACAUUGCCAGGGAUUACCACAUAACCAUGACAC
Anolis carolinensis (green anole) is the source of this 86-nucleotide microRNA precursor. Ensembl annotates it as aca-mir-23b. Its record names the gene aca-mir-23b. The record is from Ensembl. NCBI's taxonomy places the organism in Eukaryota, Metazoa, Chordata, Lepidosauria, Squamata, Anolidae.